This 5382-nucleotide small RNA is filed under the name Pan troglodytes (chimpanzee). Its description in RNAcentral is "retained intron". The record is from RNAcentral. Lineage: Eukaryota; Metazoa; Chordata; Mammalia; Primates; Hominidae.
GGGCGACGCCACACGUCGGGGUGGCCGACUGGGUCAGCGCGGGCUGCGCCUCCUCGCCAUGGGCCCCCUCUCGGCGCGGCUGCUAAUGCAGCGCGGGCGCCCCAAGAGCGACCGGCUGGGGAAGAUCCGGAGUCUGGAGUAAGAGCCGGGCAGGGGCCUGUCAGGAUUGGAGCUGCUUUCCGAGCACCUGGACCCCAAGCUCCUGUGCCGCCUGACGCAGCUGCAGGAGCUUGACCUGUCUAACAACCACCUGGAGACGCUGCCGGACAACCUGGGCCUGUCCCACCUGCGUGUCCUCCGCUGCGCCAACAACCAGCUGGGGGAUGUUACUGCCUUGUGCCAGUUCCCCAAGCUCGAGGAACUCAGCCUGGAGGGCAACCCCUUCCUGACGGUCAAUGACAACCUGAAAGUCUCCUUUCUCCUGCCCACGCUCCGUAAGGUCAAUGGCAAGGAUGCGUCCUCAACUUACUCUCAGGUGGAGAACCUGAAUCGGGAGCUGACCAGCAGGGUCACAGCUCACUGGGAGAAGUUCAUGGCCACACUGGGUCCUGAAGAGGAGGCUGAGAAGGCCCAGGCGGACUUUGUGAAGUCGGCUGUCAGGGAUGUCCGCUACGGGCCCGAGUCCCUCAGCGAGUUCACCCAGUGGCGGGUGCGGAUGAUCUCUGAGGAGCUGGUGGCCGCCAGCAGGACCCAGGUGCAAAAGGCUAACAGCCCAGAGAAGCCCCCAGAAGCUGGAGCUGCCCACAAGCCCAGGGUGAGUGCAGCUCCCAGGGCUCUGAGGCCAGCCCAGUCCCUCCUCCCUGGAGAAGCUUCAGGAGACCAAGGCGUCCUGGGCAUGUGCCCAGGAAGCACCCCAGGUCCCGGCUCACUCCCUAGGCGACCCCGGGCCAGCCUGGGCCUCCUGCAUCCGCAGUGAGGUGGGGUCCAGCCUGUGAUGGGGAGGAAGGAAGCCCCAGGCAGACAGGCCCAUGGUCACAAGGCCCCCUCCACAGGCCAGACUGGCGGCCUUGAAACGGCCAGACGAUGUCCCACUCAGCCUCUCUCCCAGCAAGCGGGCGUGUGCCUCCCCGUCGGCCCAGGUGGAGGGCGGCCCUGUGGCAGGCUCCGAUGGCAGCCAGGUGAGCUGAGGUGGCAAGGAGCAGGUGGCAGAUGAGUCGGGGCUGGGCAGCCGUGACCCUUCUCUCCCCCCACAGCCUGCCAUGAAGCUGGAGCCCCUGCACUUCCUGCAGUGCCACAGCAAGAACAACAGCCCCCAGGACCUCGAGACCCAGCUGUGGGCCUGUGCCUUCGAGCCGGCCUGGGAGGAGGGUACAUGGUGGCGGGCAGGCGGGGCAAGGGCCGCUGGAAAUAGGGCCGCCUGGAUGGGUGGGGGAUCAGGAGACAGAGCUUAAAAGGCGCCAUCAAGGCUGGGAGGAGGAGGCUGCAGGGAGGACCUGGAUGGGAAAUGUCUCUGCUCAUCCGACCUCUCAAAACCGGGCACUCAGGGGCCACAUCCCAGACCGUGGCCACGUGCGGCGGGGAGGCUGUGUGCGUAAUUGAUUGCCAGACGGGCAUCGUGCUCCACAAGUACAAGGCACCCGGCGAGGUGAGUGCAGGGCCCUGUCCCUGCUGGGCAGGGGUGCCCGACUGACUCCUGAACAGCAGCAUGGGGAUGGAUGCAGGCUCGGCCCCCUGCCCCACGGCCUUUUUCUUUCAUGCUGGGGCUCCCUCCCCCAGGCCCGGGCUACCCGCGUGUUCACACCAAUAGCUCUGCCCCAGUGACUGUUUACUCUAACCCCCGCCCAGGAGUUCUUUUCUGUGGCCUGGACCGCUCUGAUGGUGGUCACACAGGCUGGCCACAAGAAGCGCUGGAGUGUGCUGGCGGCUGCAGGCCUACGGGGCCUGGUCCGGCUGCUGCACGUGCGUGCCGGCUUCUGCUGCGGGGUCAUCCGGGCCCACAAGAAGGCCAUCGCCACCCUGUGCUUCAGCCCCGCCCACGAGACCCAUCUCUUCACGGCCUCCUAUGACAAGCGGAUCAUCCUCUGGGACAUUGGGGUGCCCAACCAGGACUACGAAUUCCAGGCCAGCCAGCUGCUCACACUGGACACCACCUCUAUCCCCCUGCGCCUCUGCCCUGUCGCCUCCUGCCCGGACGCCCGCCUGCUGGCCGGCUGCGAGGGCGGCUGCUGCUGCUGGGACGUGCGGCUGGACCAGCCCCAAAAGAGGAGGUGAGGCUGGGCAGGGGGCGCCUUGGAAGCCAGGCCUCUGCACAGGGUGGCUGUUGGCCCAGAUGGGCUCACAGCAGCCUGGGCACACCCGGGUAACCAUAAGGGUUGUUUUUAGAGGCCUCUUCGCAGAGCUGGCUUGUCCCACCUUUCUGCCAGGCUCUGGAGGAAAGGACUCUGACCCUGCUCUCACCCUGGGUUCAGCUGUGGGACUGGGCCAUGAUGACCUCCCCUUCACCUGGGGUUUCAGCACCAUGCUGUGCCCAUGUGAUCCAGCCCACUCCUGCCACUCAUCAGCAGUGUGAUGGUCCUCUGUGCUGGCGUAAUGUCCUCAUCUGUAAAGAGGGGCCGAUGGCUAGCGGAGGGCAGGCUUUGGAAGUGCCACGUUGAGGCUUUCUGGCUCAUCUGGAAGGCCUCUGAGACAGGGCUUGGCAAGGGGUCCCUGUCCUCUUGGGGCCCCCAGCCUACUGGGGAAGACAGAUGCUCAGCAAAGGUGGCCAAUCAAAAUCCCACAGUGUGAUGCCAGCUACGAAGGAGAGGGAAAAAGAGUAACCGGCAGAGGGACACUAGCGUGGGGGCCUCAGGGGACUCUGCUGAGGUGACCAGUGGCAGAUGAAUAUUCUGGGGCUCACGCUUUCCUCCCUGGGAGCCCGGUGAGGGAGUCAGCGGGCGGAGGGUGGGGAGGUGCUUGCAUGGAGGAAAUGGUACGUGCAAAGGUCAGUGGCAGGGGAGCCGGCUGGCCUGCUCCCCCAUGUGGCCACAGCUGGGUGGACCCAGCCCAGAACGAGGUGGCAAGGGUGCCUGGGCGGGGCACGCUGGGCUUUGUCAGCCACGGUAAGCUUUGCAUUUCUAUUUACUUUUUAUUUGAGAUGGAGUCUCCCUCUUGUCACCCAGGCUGGAGUACAGUGGCUCAAUCUCGGCUCACUGCAACCUCUGCCGCCAGGGUCCAAGUGAUCCUCCUGCCUCAGCCUCCCGAGUAGCUGGGAUUACAGGCGCACGCCACCACGCCCGGCUAAUUUUCUUUUUUUUUGAGAUGGAGUUUCACUCUUGUUGCCCAGGCUGGAGUGCAAUGACACGAUCUCGGCUCACUGCAAUUUCCACCCCCCCACCGGGUUCAAUUAAUUCUUCUGCCUCAGCCUCCCAAGUAGCUGGAAUUACAGGUGCACGCCAACACACCUGGCUUAUUUUUGUAUUUUAAUAGAGAUGGGGUUUCACCAUGUUGGCCAGGCUGGUCUCGAACUCCUGACCUCAGGUGAUCCACCCGCCUCAGCCUCCCAAAGUGCCAGGAUUACAGGUGUGAGCCAUUGCACCCAGCUGAUUUUUGUCUUUUUAAUAGAGACGGGGUUUCCCCGUGUUGGCCAGGCUGGUCUCGAGCUCCUGACUUCAGGUGAUCCACCCACCUCAGCCUCCCAAAGUGCUGGGAUUACAGGUGUGAGCCACUGCCCUGGGCCAAGAUUUGGAUUUUUAGCUUACCUACAACAAACAGCCCAGGAGGAGCUUCGACACAGCAGCUGCUGUGUUGAAAGGAGCAGCAGGGGCCUUGGCGGCAGAGGUGGUGGUGGCGGUAGUUAUGGGCUUCUCUUUCUCACCAGCAGCCCCUGGGCCGCCGCCUCCCUCCCUGCCCGUAUGUCUGGUCCCUGUGUCUAAGAUGCUUCUUCUCUUAUCCUCUGCCCAACUGGCUCAGGCCUGGCCCAUGGUUAGCUGCUGGGCCACUCUCCUGGCUCCAGGCUAGCCUCCAAGAGUCAGGUAGCUGCCGGGACACUUCUCCAAGCAGACACUCCCACACACUCAGCUCUGAACCAUGCAGCAGCCAUUCCCCCAUUCCCCCGUCUUUUGAGUCAGAGCAGAUGCCCCCAACAGCCCCCUGGGCCAUGGCCUGGAAACACCUGCUCUACUUGGCUGCCAGGAGGCCCCUGUUCAUCUCACACUGGGUCCCAGAGGCACUGGCUCGUUUCAGAGCCUUUUCCGACCCCCUGGCCUAGCCCCGUCCUGGAAGAGCCACCCCUCGUGCCUCUGGGUCACUACUGUGACUCGGGACACUCAGGUGCUGGCUCCCCCUUCCAGGGCAAACUGAACCUUCCUAGGGCCAAGAAUGUAUCUCUUUGGUGGCAUCUUCUGUGCAGCCUUCACACAGGGCAGGGUCCCCAGCAGGUGCCCUGCAGAUGCCUGGGUGAGUGGGCAGCUCUCUAUCUGCAAGGAAUGGCCAACUAGCAUCUCGUGCUGCCCCACAGGGUGUGUGAAGUGGAAUUCGUCUUCUCUGAGGGCUCCGAGGCAUCUGGACGGAGAGUGGAUGGGCUGGCAUUUGUGAAUGAGGACAUCGUGGGUGAGUGAGCUCAGCUUGUGGGACAGCCUGGCCUCUGGGCACACAGAUGGACCGCUUGUCCCUGGGCUAGGCUUCUGAGGAUCUCUAGUGGGAGAAGGUGUCUGGGAGGGGCCACCCUGCACAGCUCUCCCUUCUCCCCCACAGCCUCCAAGGGGAGCGGCCUGGGCACCAUCUGCCUGUGGAGCUGGAGGCAGACGUGGGGGGGCCGGGGCAGCCAGUCCACGGUGGCAGUGGUGGUCCUGGCGCGGCUGCAGUGGUCGUCCACCGAGUUGGCCUACUUCUCGCUCAGUGCCUGCCCUGGUGAGCCUGCCCCCCUGCCCGCCCCAUCCCGCAGGCCUCCGGGAGCUCUGCCCCCACUCAGACUCCACCUCUGUCCCAGCAGAUAAGGGGAUUGUGCUCUGUGGGGAUGAGGAGGGCAACGUGUGGCUCUACGACGUCAGCAACAUCCUGAAGCAGCCACCCCUGCUGCCGGCAGCCCUGCAGGCCCCCACGCAGGUACCGCUCAGCUCACCCUGCCCAGGCUUGGGCUGGCAAGGCAUCAGGUGCCCUGCCUUUGGUCAGCAGGAGCCCAGCCCAGCCCUCCCCUCUCUCCCCACCAGAUCCUGAAGUGGCCCCAGCCCUGGGCCCUUGGCCAGGUGGUGACCAAGACCAUGGUGAACACGGUGGUGGCCAAUGCCUCCUUCACCUACCUCACUGCCCUGACGGACUCCAACAUCGUAGCCAUCUGGGGGAGGAUGUAGCCUCACACCAUCGCAAAGGACCAGGGAUGCAGCUAACUUAUUCAGCUUUGGGCCGAUGGGGGUGGGGGGGGGGGUCUUUCAGUGAAUAUUUUUAUUAAACUCUACUGUGGACAAG